AUUGAACGCUGGCGGCAUGCCUUACACAUGCAAGUCGAACGGCAGCACGGGUGCUUGCACCUGGUGGCGAGUGGCGAACGGGUGAGUAAUACAUCGGAACGUACCUUAUCGUGGGGGAUAACGCAGCGAAAGCUGUGCUAAUACCGCAUACGCCCUGAGGGGGAAAGCGGGGGAUCGAAAGACCUCGCGCGAUUAGAGCGGCCGAUGCCUGAUUAGCUUGUUGGUGGGGUAAAAAGCCCACCAAGGCGACGAUCAGUAGCUGGUCUGAGAGGACGAUCAGCCACACUGGGACUGAGACACGGCCCAGACUCCUACGGGAGGCAGCAGUGGGGAAUUUUGGACAAUGGGGGCAACCCUGAUCCAGCAAUGCCGCGUGAGUGAAGAAGGCCUUCGGGUUGUAAAGCUCUUUUGUCAGGGAAGAAACAGCAGCUCUAACACAGUCUGCGAAUGACGGUACCUGAAGAAUAAGCACCGGCUAACUACGUG
Molecule: ribosomal RNA, 486 nt
Filed under: uncultured bacterium
Lineage: Bacteria
Description: bacterial SSU rRNA
Rfam family: Bacterial small subunit ribosomal RNA
Source: RNAcentral